UGUGGAGAUGAAACGAGAAAAUGCAGCCAGUCGAGUACAGCACAGAGCAUAUAGCAAGAGCUCAAUAACUCUAACGGCUUCCAGCCAGGGCUCAACCCAACCCUUUUGUGCCCUGCAGUCAUCGCUGCGUCUUUAAAAGAAAAGCGAUCCGUUGGAAUGCUCUGCGUGCACAAGCCUGUCGGACUCAGCGGGCCCCACCUGCUGAGCAGGUCACUGAUUACAACGCAGGCUUUCAAAGAAAGAAGAGUCUAAAGACAGAGAGAAUCCACUCAUCAGCUAAUUAACUCCCAUAUCUUCAAGUGUUGACAGCUCUCUUCAAAGUCCUGGCUUUUCUAAAACAGGAAUAGCCCAGGGCCACCCCAAACACACUCCCCACGGCCCGCCCCCAGCAAAAGUAACCUGGGCCCUGGGGAUGGAUGAGGAUGGACCCAUCGAGAGAGGCUUGCUGGACAUUUGGCCUAGAGGUUGAUAAGAAACUGUAUCAGUCAAGCUUCUGCAAGGAACAGAUGGUGUCCUCAACAAACAGUGGUUGAAUCCUUGCUGACUAAACCCAGGAUGUCCAAUGAGUCACCAAAUCCUGUCAACUCUACCUCCUAAAUCUUGCUUAAAUCCCUUGACCGCCUCACAUCCUCACUGCUUUGUCUCCCCUUUAGAGCACU
Long non-coding RNA from Bos taurus (domestic cattle), 659 nucleotides. The record is from Ensembl. NCBI's taxonomy places the organism in Eukaryota, Metazoa, Chordata, Mammalia, Artiodactyla, Bovidae.